GACGAACGCUGGCGGCGUGCCUAACACAUGCAAGUCGAACGGAGAUUAUUGAUGAAGCUUGCGAUUUAAUAAUCUUAGUGGCGAACGGGUGAGUAACACGUGGGUAACCUGCCCAUAAGAGGGGGAUAACAUCCGGAAACGGGUGCUAAUACCGCAUAGGUUUCUUGGUCGCAUGAUCGAGAAAGGAAGACGGCCUUUGUGCUGUCGCUUAUGGAUGGACCCGGGCGUAUUAGUUAGUUGGUGAGGUAAAGGCUCACCAAGACAACGAU
Molecule: ribosomal RNA, 269 nt
Filed under: uncultured bacterium
Lineage: Bacteria
Description: partial 16S ribosomal RNA
Rfam family: Bacterial small subunit ribosomal RNA
Source: RNAcentral